This 338-nucleotide ribosomal RNA is filed under the name uncultured Enterobacteriaceae bacterium. Its description in RNAcentral is "bacterial SSU rRNA". It matches the Rfam family "Bacterial small subunit ribosomal RNA", at positions 1043 to 1382 of the family's 1533-position model. Lineage: Bacteria; Pseudomonadati; Pseudomonadota; Gammaproteobacteria; Enterobacterales; Enterobacteriaceae. The record is from RNAcentral.
GCAUGGCUGUCGUCAGCUCGUGUUGUGAAAUGUUGGUUAAGUCCCGCAACGAGCGCAACCCUUAUCCUUUGUUGCCAGCGGUCCGGCCGGGAACUCAAAGGAGACUGCCAGUGAUAAACUGGAGGAAGGUGGGGAUGACGUCAAGUCAUCAUGGCCCUUACGACCAGGGCUACACACGUGCUACAAUGGCGCAUACAAAGAGAAGCGACCUCGCGAGAGCAAGCGGACCUCAUAAAGUGCGUCGUAGUCCGGAUUGGAGUCUGCAACUCGACUCCAUGAAGUCGGAAUCGCUAGUAAUCGUGGAUCAGAAUGCCACGGUGAAUACGUUCCCGGGCCUU